AUGCAAAAUGGUUUCCAGAAGGAAGAAAGGAAGGAGGGAGGAGGAUGGAGGAGGGAGGAAGGAGGAGGAGGGAGGGAGGAGGGAGGAGGGAGGAGGAGGGAGGAAGGAGGAGGGAGGAGGGAGGGAGGAGGAGGGAGGAGAGAGGAGGGAGGAGGGAGGAGGAGGAAGGAGGAGGAGGGAGGAGGAGGGAGGAGGAGGGAGGAGGAGGAAGGAGGGAGGAGAGGAGGGAGGAGGAGGGAGGAGGGAGGAGGGAGGAGGAGGGCGGAGGGAGGAGGGCGGAGGGAGGAGGGAUGGGAGGAGGAGGGAGGAGGAGGGAGGAGGAGGAGGAGGAGGAGGGCGGAGGGAGGAGGAGGGCGGAGGGAGGAGGAGGGAGGAGGGAGGAGGAGGGAGGAGGAGGGAGGAGGAGGGAGGCGGAGGGAGGAGGAGAGGGAGGAGGGGGAGGGAGGAGGAGGCGGAGGGAGGAGGGGAGGGAGGAGGCGGAGGGAGGAGGCGGAGGGAGAAGGAGGGAGGAGGAGGAGGAGGGAGGAGGAGGGAGGAGGGAGGGAGGAGGAAGGAGGAGGGAGGAGGAGGGGGGAGGGAGGAGGAGGCGGAGGGGAGGAGGAAGGAGGAGGAGGGGGGAGGGAGGAGGGGAGGGAGGAGGGAGGAGGGAGGAGGCGGAGGAGGAGGAGGAGGAGGGGGGAGGGAGGAGGCGGAGGGGAGGAGGAGGAGGGAGGAGGAGGGAGGAGGAGGAGGAGGGGAGGGAGGAGGGAUGGGAGGAGGAGGGGAGGGAGGAGGGGGAGGGAGGAGGGGGGAGGGAGGAGGGGGAGGGAGGAGGGGGGAGGGAGGGGGAGGGAGGAGGGGGAGGGAGGAGGGGAGGGAGGAGGGGGAGGGAGGAGGGGGGAGGGAGGGGGAGGGAGGAGGGGGGAGGGAGGAGGGGGAGGGAGGAGGGGGGAGGGAGGAGGGGGAGGGAGGAGGGGGGAGGGAGGGGGAGGGAGGAGGGAUGGGAGGAGGAGGGGAGGGAGGAGGGGGGAGGGAGGAGGCGGGAGGAGGAGGAGGGAAGGAGGGAGGAGAAGGAGGGCGGAGGGAGGAGGGAGGAGGAGGAGGAGAGGAGGAGGGAGAGGGAGGAGGAUGGAGGGAGGAGGGAGGCGGAGGGAGGAGGAUGGGAGGAGGAGGGGAGGAGGGAGGAGGAGGAGGGAGGCGGAGGAGGAGGAGGAGGGAGGAGGGAGGAGGAGGGAGGGAGGAGGCGGGAGGAGGGAGGAGGCGGGAGGAGGAGGGGGAGGAGGAGGCGGGAGGAGGAGGAGGGGGAGGAGGGAGGCGGGAGGAGGGAGGAGGGAGGAGGCGGAGGGGAGGGAGAAGAGAAGAGGGAGGAGGAGGAGGGAGAGGAGGAGGGAGGGAGAAGAGAAGAGGGAGGAGGGAGAAGAGAAGAGGGAGGAGGGAGGAGAGAGGAGGAAGGGAGGAGUGGGAGCCUGCGUCACUAGGACCAGGACAGAGAGGAGGGUCACGAGAGGGCGCAGGAAGAGGCUGAACCGGUGGAGCACACACAAGUGA
Molecule: long non-coding RNA, 1527 nt
Filed under: Felis catus (domestic cat)
Lineage: Eukaryota; Metazoa; Chordata; Mammalia; Carnivora; Felidae
Description: lncRNA (ENSFCAG00000047885.1)
Source: RNAcentral